GUGCUGGCUUUGGCAACACAUAUACAAAAAUUGGAAUGAUACAGGGAACAUUAGCAUGGCCCCUGCUCAAGGAUGACAGGCAAAUUCGUGAAGCAUUCCAUGUUUUU
This 107-nucleotide small nuclear RNA is filed under the name Phascolarctos cinereus (koala). The record is from RNAcentral. Lineage: Eukaryota; Metazoa; Chordata; Mammalia; Diprotodontia; Phascolarctidae.